CAAUAGCGUAUAUUAAAGUUGUUGCGGUAAAAAAGCUCGUAGUUGGAUUUCUGUUGAGAGCGACCGGUCCAUACCAUGUAUGCGUAUCUGGCUUGCUCUCGGCAUCCUCUCGAUAGACGUUACUGCGCUUGAUUGCGUGGUGCGGAUCUCGGGACUUUUACUUUGAGGAAAUUAGAGUGUUCACAGCAGGCUUUCGCCAGAAUACAUUAGCAUGGAAUAAUACUAUAGGAUCUUGGUUCUAUUUUGUUGGUUUCUAGAAUUGAGAUAAUGAUUAAUAGGGACAAUUGGGGGCAUUCGUAUCAACACGUCAGAGGUGGAAUUCUUGGAUUGUGUUGCGACGAACUACUGCGAAAGCAUUUGCCAAGGAUGUUUUCAUUGA
RNAcentral lists this ribosomal RNA (379 nucleotides) under uncultured eukaryote. Its description in RNAcentral is "partial 18S ribosomal RNA". It matches the Rfam family "Eukaryotic small subunit ribosomal RNA", at positions 592 to 976 of the family's 1831-position model. The record is from RNAcentral.